UUUUCAUCAGACAAUCUGUGUGAGCACUGCAAAGUACGCUUCUUUAAGGUAAGGAGGUGAUCCAACCGCAGGUUCCCCUACGGUUACCUUGUUACGACUUCACCCCAGUCAUGAAUCACAAAGUGGUAAGCGCCCUCCCGAAGGUUAAGCUACCUACUUCUUUUGCAACCCACUCCCAUGGUGUGACGGGCGGUGUGUACAAGGCCCGGGAACGUAUUCACCGUGGCAUUCUGAUCCACGAUUACUAGCGAUUCCGACUUCAUGGAGUCGAGUUGCAGACUCCAAUCCGGACUACGACGCACUUUAUGAGGUCCGCUUGCUCUCGCGAGGUCGCUUCUCUUUGUAUGCGCCAUUGUAGCACGUGUGUAGCCCUGGUCGUAAGGGCCAUGAUGACUUGACGUCAUCCCCACCUUCCUCCAGUUUAUCACUGGCAGUCUCCUUUGAGUUCCCGGCCGGACCGCUGGCAACAAAGGAUAAGGGUUGCGCUCGUUGCGGGACUUAACCCAACAUUUCACAACACGAGCUGACGACAGCCAUGCAGCACCUGUCUCACGGUUCCCGAAGGCACAUUCUCAUCUCUGAAAACUUCCGUGGAUGUCAAGACCAGGUAAGGUUCUUCGCGUUGCAUCGAAUUAAACCACAUGCUCCACCGCUUGUGCGGGCCCCCGUCAAUUCAUUUGAGUUUUAACCUUGCGGCCGUACUCCCCAGGCGGUCUACUUAACGCGUUAGCUCCGGAAGCCACGCCUCAAGGGCACAACCUCCAAGUAGACAUCGUUUACGGCGUGGACUACCAGGGUAUCUAAUCCUGUUUGCUCCCCACGCUUUCGCACCUGAGCGUCAGUCUUUGUCCAGGGGGCCGCCUUCGCCACCGGUAUUCCUCCAGAUCUCUACGCAUUUCACCGCUACACCUGGAAUUCUNNNNNNNNNNNNNNNNNNNNCCUGGAAUUCUACCCCCCUCUACAAGACUCAAGCCUGCCAGUUUCGAAUGCAGUUCCCAGGUUGAGCCCGGGGAUUUCACAUCCGACUUGACAGACCGCCUGCGUGCGCUUUACGCCCAGUAAUUCCGAUUAACGCUUGCACCCUCCGUAUUACCGCGGCUGCUGGCACGGAGUUAGCCGGUGCUUCUUCUGCGGGUAACGUCAAUUGCUGCGGUUAUUAACCACAACACCUUCCUCCCCGCUGAAAGUACUUUACAACCCGAAGGCCUUCUUCAUACACGCGGCAUGGCUGCAUCAGGCUUGCGCCCAUUGUGCAAUAUUCCCCACUGCUGCCUCCCGUAGGAGUCUGGACCGUGUCUCAGUUCCAGUGUGGCUGGUCAUCCUCUCAGACCAGCUAGGGAUCGUCGCCUUGGUGAGCCGUUACCUCACCAACAAGCUAAUCCCAUCUGGGCACAUCUGAUGGCAAGAGGCCCGAAGGUCCCCCUCUUUGGUCUUGCGACGUUAUGCGGUAUUAGCCACCGUUUCCAGUAGUUAUCCCCCUCCAUCAGGCAGUUUCCCAGACAUUACUCACCCGUCCGCCACUCGUCAGCAAAGCAGCAAGCUGCUUCCUGUUACCGUUCGACUUGCAUGUGUUAGGCCUGCCGCCAGCGUUCAAUCUGAGCCAUGAUCAAACUCUUCAAUUUAAAAGUUUGAUGCUCAAUGAAUUAAACUUCGUAAUGAAUUACGUGUUCACUCUUGAGACUUGGUAUUCAUUUUUCGUC
This 1700-nucleotide ribosomal RNA is filed under the name Salmonella enterica subsp. enterica serovar Paratyphi A. RNAcentral's name for it is "16S ribosomal RNA". The record is from RNAcentral. Lineage: Bacteria; Pseudomonadati; Pseudomonadota; Gammaproteobacteria; Enterobacterales; Enterobacteriaceae.